Pseudophryne corroboree (corroboree frog) is the source of this 1550-nucleotide long non-coding RNA. RefSeq lists it as uncharacterized. The transcript has 6 exons. The record is from RefSeq and is a predicted model, not a curated record. NCBI's taxonomy places the organism in Eukaryota, Metazoa, Chordata, Amphibia, Anura, Myobatrachidae.
GGCCACCCUUACCGACUGUCAGCGGCUGGCAGGCAGCCUGCUGUGCAAUGCUGCUGUGUCUCUCUAUACUGGCCGGAGAGGAAGCAACAGCAUCGUCCUCUCUCCCUCCUCCCCCUGCACCCAGGGUUUCUGGCUCUGCAGCCCCUCUCAAGGCCGUAGGCAGGGAGGUCCGGUCGCUGCCCCCGGCCUUCUAUGCUCCCUCAGCCGCCGCCCAUUGCCACAAGCUGCUGGUGGCCAAUCGCCUGCUCCCGGCUCCCUUAUAUUUGCCUGAACCCUGCCGGCUCCACCUCCUGCUCCUGCAAGGCCAGUCAGUGUGAGAGGAGCGACGCAGUGCUGCCAUGGAACCCCACAUCUAUGGCACACUGUAUCAGCCACAGUCAGCAAAAAAAUACUGCUGCCACAGCGGCCAUAUUUGCUGACAGUUACAGAGUUCUAUCUGCGUGACCAAGGACCUCCGCAGGCCGCUGAUGUUCCGCCGAUGUUGUCAGUCCAUGUCAGUCCAUCUGAUGUAUCUGCACUCAGAUAAGUAAAAUGAGUCAUCCCAGGCUGUGUUUGAGGAGAGGCUGCGGUCCGAGCGACGAAGAGGAGAAAGAAGAGGUCAUCGGAAACUCAGGAACAUCUAUAAAGAGGAGAAACAUCCACUUGUGUACAGAUGCCUCAAAGGGAGCAAAGACACUGAAGCCGCUCUCCUCUUUCUGCUCCUGAGAGACCAACAGACAGACUAAACCCAGCACCUCUCCCUGAUCCAAGUCAUCCAACCUCCCAGCAACCAGCUGAAAAUGGGGAUGCCGACUGCCAUAUAAGAACAAGCUACAUUGGUGAUCGGACCGGCAACUGAACAAAGUUAAGUUACAACGGGAAGGUCCCUAUCUAAACCCCUGACAGAUCACGUUGUCCAAGGAUGGAGUAAGGUCGGGGGAAUGGCCAUUUGCCUAUCUGUGACACGUGCUGCCAUGAUCCCGAGAGACCUCAGCAUGCCAGUGUAGAAAUCUGGAUGGAAGGACCAGAAAUUGUGUAGUGGCAAUAUCUCUUCCACACCCUGGACUACCAAAGGUCUGCUUGACCCUCAGCCACAGAGAGAGAUUAUAUCAAGUUUUGAAGCCUUUUGGUACUUGCACACUCACUGUCCUUCUUGUUGAAGGCAGACAGGGAUAAGUGCCGCUCCACAUCAGACAGCUGGAUGUCUUCUCUUUUCUUUCCAUUCUUCCAGAAGUCCAGCGCCAGCUCUGAGAUCUUCUCUCCUCCUGUGUUACUGAGACACAAAGUGCACCAACACUGACUAUUAAACUACGACAAAUCGGUAUAACCUUACACAGCAAUGUAUGAAUGAGUCCGUGUGGAACUGAACCCACACCAGAUGGCAACAAACUAGUGAAUAGGGUCUAGGACAGAGAACCCACAUGACAAAGUGAAGAUGGAAUUUAGACUAUAGAUAUAAAGAUAUCUACAAACAGAGAACAUAUGUUGGCAACACACGCUACUGAAUGCCAUGUGAGGUGCUGAAUGUCUGCAAUGUCUAAUAUCAAAAUAAAUAACCAAUGAUAACAUAA